Molecule: ribosomal RNA, 253 nt
Filed under: uncultured bacterium
Lineage: Bacteria
Description: partial 16S ribosomal RNA
Rfam family: Bacterial small subunit ribosomal RNA
Source: RNAcentral
UACAGAGGGGGCUAGCGUUAUUCGGAAUUAUUGGGCGUAAAGGGCGCGUAGGCGGCCAUGCGUGUCUUCCGUGAAAUCCCUCGGCUUAACUGAGGACGUGCGGAAGAAACUGCAAGGCUCGAGUCCGGGAGAGGGGGGUGGAAUUCCCAGUGUAGCGGUGAAAUGCGUAGAUAUUGGGAGGAACACCGGUGGCGAAGGCAGCCCCCUGGGCUGAGAUUGACGCUCAGGCACGAAAGCGUGGGGAGCAAACAGG